UCCGGUUGAUCCUGCCGGAGGUCACUGCUAUUGGGAUUCGAUUAAGCCAUGCGAGUCGAGAGGGUUCGGCCCUCGGCAGACGGCUCAGUAACACGUGGAUAAUCUGCCCUAUGGUGGAGGAUAACCUCGGGAAACUGAGAAUAAUACUCCAUAGGUCUAAGAUGCUGGAAUGCACUUAGGCUGAAAACUCCGGUGCCAUAGGAUGAGUCUGCGGACUAUCAGGUUGUAGUCAGGGUAACGACCUGACUAGCCUACGACGGAUACGGGUUGUGAGAGCAAUAACCCGGAGAUGAUAUCUGAGACACGAUAUCAGGCCCUACGGGGCGCAGCAGGCGCGAAAACUUCACAAUGUGCGAAAGCACGAUGAGGGAAUCCCAAGUGCUUGCACGUAAGUGUAAGCUGUUUCUCUGUCUAAAAAGCAGAGAGAGUAAGGGCUGGGUAAGACGGGUGCCAGCCGCCGCGGUAAUACCUGCAGCUCGAGUGGUGACCGCUAUUAUUGGGCCUAAAACGUCCGUAGCCGGUUUAAUAAAUGCCUGGGUAAAUCGGACCGCUUAACGGUUCGAAUUCCGGGUAGACUGUUAAACUUGAGACCGGGAGAAGUUAGAGGUACUCCAGGGGUA
This 620-nucleotide ribosomal RNA is filed under the name uncultured archaeon. RNAcentral describes it as "bacterial SSU rRNA". It matches the Rfam family "Archaeal small subunit ribosomal RNA", at positions 1 to 628 of the family's 1478-position model. The record is from RNAcentral.